This 253-nucleotide ribosomal RNA is filed under the name uncultured bacterium. Its description in RNAcentral is "partial 16S ribosomal RNA". It matches the Rfam family "Bacterial small subunit ribosomal RNA", at positions 524 to 776 of the family's 1533-position model. The record is from RNAcentral.
UACGAAGGUCCCGAGCGUUGUUCGGAAUCACUGGGCGUAAAGGGAGCGUAGGCGGCGUGGUAAGUCAGAUGUGAAAUCCCGGGGCUCAACCCCGGAACUGCAUCCGAUACUGGCAUGCUAGAGUGAUGGAGAGGUAGCUGGAAUUCUUGGUGUAGCAGUGAAAUGCGUAGAGAUCGGGAGGAACAUCAGUGGCGAAGGCGGCCAUCUGGGACAACACUGACGCUGAGGCACGAAAGUGUGGGGAGCAAACAGG